GUGAUGCUGGAGACCUACCGGAACCUCACUGCUAUAGGUUACAGUUGGGAAGAUCAUCAUGUUGAAGAACAACCUCAAAGUUUUAGAAGGCGUGAAAGGCAUGAAAAAAGUCAUACUGGAGAGAAACCGCAUGAAUGU
Long non-coding RNA from Arvicanthis niloticus (Nile rat), 138 nucleotides. RefSeq lists it as uncharacterized. The record is from RefSeq and is a predicted model, not a curated record. Lineage: Eukaryota; Metazoa; Chordata; Mammalia; Rodentia; Muridae.